CAGACGAUGCGUCAUGCAUAUCAAUAAGCGGAGGAAAAGAAACUAACAAGGAUUCCCCUAGUAACGGCGAGUGAAGCGGGAAGAGCUCAAAUUUGAAAUCUUAAAGGGUUUCCCUUUACGAAUUGUAGUUUAAAGAAGUGUUUUCUGUUGAGGUUUUGGUAAAAGUUCUUUGGAAUAGGACAUCAUAGAGGGUGAGAAUCCCGUAUUUGACCUUUACUUUCAACUUUGUGAUACACUUUCAAAGAGUCGGAUUGUUUGGGAAUGCAGUCCAAAAUGGGUGGUAAAUUUCAUCUAAAGCUAAAUAUUGGCGAGAGACCGAUAGCGAACAAGUACCGUGAGGGAAAGAUGAAAAGAACUUUGAAAAGAGAGUUAAACAGUACGUGAAAUUGUCAAAAGGGAAGCGUUUGACACCAGUGUUGUUUUUCUGAAAAUCAAUUAAAGAACUGUUUAUGCUAAGCUGUUUAGACUUUAUCAGCUAUACUGUUUAGUUUUGAGCUUUUCUUUAAUGCACUUUUCAGUUAACAAGUCAACAUCAAUUUCUUUUGCUGUAAAAAAGCUUGAGGAAGGUGGCUUGAGAUUCGUCUUAAGUGUUUAUAGCCUCUUGCCUAUGCAGUCGGAGAGAUUGAGGUCUGCAGCGUAGAUCCUUCGGGGCUAAAUGCAUUUGUGCUAAGUUAUAGCAUUUUAUAGACAACUUGUUGACUAUGAUUUGUCUUGUAGCUUACUCGCUUAUGUUAUUUUACCUACGCUUAGGAUGUUGAGCGCAUGUCUCUCUCU
This 774-nucleotide ribosomal RNA is filed under the name uncultured Neocallimastigales. Its description in RNAcentral is "partial large subunit ribosomal RNA". It matches the Rfam family "Eukaryotic large subunit ribosomal RNA", at positions 18 to 616 of the family's 3401-position model. The record is from RNAcentral. Lineage: Eukaryota; Fungi; Neocallimastigomycota; Neocallimastigomycetes; Neocallimastigales.